AGGACAUUUUGCCAGUUAACAACUUUUUUGUAGCACAAACGGUUGUGGAGUUAUGUGCCUUUAAAGUUUGGCCGAGAGGAGAGCCUGCGAUGCCGAUUCAUCUUUAAAGGCGCAUAACUCAUGAACCGCUAGUGCAACAAAA
Molecule: non-coding RNA, 142 nt
Organism: Caenorhabditis elegans
Lineage: Eukaryota; Metazoa; Nematoda; Chromadorea; Rhabditida; Rhabditidae
Source: Ensembl